CUAAAGUUCACGUGGUUUGGUUGUUGGUGAGAGGAAUUUGGAUUAGGCCUUCCAGCCUUGAAAACACGCUUAGGCUCAUCCCAGAGCUGACUAUGCUACCACUAAGCACUGAAGGCUGGUCUGGGAGUCAAUGGAGGUAACAGAGCAGAAUUUGGCUCCCAUUUUGGAAAGAAUGAGCCCAUCAGAGCUAUAUUUGCACUAUUAACACUGAAGUACAGAUGAACUAAGUUGGCUCUUCCCCGGGUGGAGGGGUGUGUGAAAGAGCUUGAUGGUACCCCAAAGGGAGG
Molecule: long non-coding RNA, 287 nt
Organism: Mauremys reevesii (Reeves's turtle)
Lineage: Eukaryota; Metazoa; Chordata; Testudines; Geoemydidae
Exons: 3
Source: RefSeq, a predicted model, not a curated record